CACACACUGGCUGAUACCUGACCGCGCUGACACCACGGUCUCUAACACCGACUGUCCCUACGACAGGUCAGAGACACCUAUACACCUAUACACACACUGGCUGAUACCUGACCACGCUGACACCACGGUCUCUAACACCGACUGUCCCUACGACAGGUCAGACACCUAUACACCCACUGGCUGAUACCUGACCACGCUGACACCACGGUCUCUAACACCGACUGUCCCUACGACAGGGUGGUGGCCACCACUGAGAUGAUGAGAGGAGUGGUCCCUGGGUCGGCUGAGGUGUUCAACUACAUGACUCACCUGAAGCUCAGCCACAGCACGGCAUUGGCUGUCAGCGACCACUACCCCGUUGAGGUGAAGCUGAUUGGUCACGCCCCUGCUGCAUGAGCCCGCCUCCAGGAAGUGUUCCGACACUCUCAAAUGGCACCCUAUUCGCUGCGUAGUGCACUACUUUGGACCAGAGCCUUCUAUAGGGAAUAGGGUGCCAGUUGAGUGUCAUCGCCAUGACGCGUUUCAAUAAAACUCAGUCUAACUGUUA
This is a non-coding RNA of Oncorhynchus mykiss (rainbow trout), 547 nucleotides long. The record is from RefSeq and is a predicted model, not a curated record. NCBI's taxonomy places the organism in Eukaryota, Metazoa, Chordata, Actinopteri, Salmoniformes, Salmonidae.